Sorghum bicolor (sorghum) is the source of this 1953-nucleotide long non-coding RNA. RefSeq lists it as uncharacterized. The transcript is spliced from 4 exons. The record is from RefSeq and is a predicted model, not a curated record. NCBI's taxonomy places the organism in Eukaryota, Viridiplantae, Streptophyta, Magnoliopsida, Poales, Poaceae.
CCCCACCCCCACACCUUUGCCCCUCUCUGGUCGACGGAGGCAGAAGCGGUAGCCCGUCCUUGCCCUCUUCUCCAUGCAUCACCUCUAGAGCAUGGGGAGACGUGUGGCCUUCUAAGUGCGAGGGAGUAUGUCGAGCCGUGCAGGAUCCGGCGGCGUGCGAGAUCUGACAUCGAGCAAAUCCGGUCAUGGUGGACGAACUCACGAAGAGGUGGAAGCUCCGGCACAUAUCUGCCUUUCCGUCGUCCACCCUCCAAGGCGAGCAUGCUGGCACUAGCGGCUUCAACAUGUUGCAUCUUCCCCAAAUCGCGGCUCACUGGAUAAAAGCAGACCUAACUGCUCUGCACACAAAUCCAUAAGAUCCAGCAGAACAUGCCUAUAGUGGUGGAGUCGUCUAUGGAUCAUCUCGACAACUCUCUGCCUCCCCAUCCGGCCUCCUGUUCCAGCAGCGUGAACUCAUAGCUCUUGCUUGGCUUAGCACGGCACUAAUCAUGACUUCAUGAGUGCUGCUGCUAACUGGAGUAUAAUUAAGGACAGCCCUUGCAAUGCUACUUUGUGGAAUUAAAAGGGUAAAGUGCAUGAUAAUGGCAAGGACAUGCAAAGUAGGCUACCUGACUAGGCCAAUAAAAUGUUGGUGGGUUUUGGUAAGCAGAUUUGUUACACUGGAUUUGGCCUCAUUCUAAACCCGCGUCAUUUCUUCAUUAUUGGCAUAUGUGAGUUUAUUCUCCAAUCCCUGAACUUGCUAUAUGAAGUAGUUAUCGUAGAGCUGAAGUAAAAAAAGGUUGAUUUGGGACUGAUAUCCAGAAUGCACUUGCUCUAUGAAGUUGCUCCACAUAAGAUAGCUCUAUGCAACAAGUGUUGGAAUUUAUAGGUCACUUCUCUUGUUUAUCUACUGUAAUUAAGUUAGCUAUAAUGAUCGCUAAACUUGAUAGGAGUGCAAUAUAUAUGAUGUUAAUGUGCCCUUGUUUAUCUACUGAUAGUUCUCUAGCUAUUGAGUUACAUAAUUUUAAAACAGGCUCCUGAUCUGAUUGUGCUUGCAGCUAUAUUGCAGCUACAUAAUUUUAACUAUAGGACAUUCAUGUUGAAGCUGUCAGGAUGUGUCACAUCUAUAAUCUAUAUUCAUGCUCAAUUGUUCCUGCAUUUUUGGAGUUUUCAAAAUAAGACAAUUGAGAAGCCUGAAGUUCAUGAUGUGGCUAGAGGGGCUGCUUCGAGAAGCACCAGAGGCAGUGGGCACAUGUGGUGCUGAUCCAAUGCUAGCUAUGCUUGAUCCUUGCUUUGUGUUUCUCUUCUCUAGAUAAGAUGUGUGGCAAUGCAUUUAUCCCUUUGCAAGCUACUAUGAUUUGCCCCAUAGAUGAAAUAUUCCAAUAGACUGUACUUACAUAAUUCAUUCUACUUUGUUUGUGUAGUUACUAUAUAUUGUUUCUGCCACUAUUCUUCAUGAGUCAUUCAACUGCUCAUUUGGGCAGAGUCUCUGUUUCUUGUAUAUGGAACUAUGAUGAAACCCAAUCUCAAUGCUUUUGAGUGAAUAUGAUGAUUGGAGAUACUUGACCUUGUAUGAUUUGAGGUUGGCUAUUUCAGUUCACCCUAUGAUCAUGGCAACAAAAAGGAAGCUUGCUUACAGGCAUUCUGCUAUUGGAGACGAGCGUAGAGGUGUCACAGGAAUUAUCAUUUAUUUGCACCAUUUCUUUCCAUGUUAUUGUGUUCCUUUUUUAUAUGGAAAGGUGCAUGAUGAACCUUGUGAAUGUAUCUAACAGUAAACUUUUUAAAUAGGUGCCUAUGGCAAAAGAGUUUGUUUCCUAUCCAAAAUAUGCUUGUCUGUAGUCUGUACACAUAAGAGUUGUUGCACUACCAAAGGGCUUGUAUAAUCUGUAUUGAGAUGGAAGUGGACAUAUGUUAAAAAAGUCAUGUGUUCAAUUAGCAGUUGUUAAUAUGGUGAAUAAAUAAUUAUACUUUAAA